Long non-coding RNA from Gavialis gangeticus (Gharial), 1508 nucleotides. RefSeq lists it as uncharacterized. The transcript is spliced from 3 exons. The record is from RefSeq and is a predicted model, not a curated record. NCBI's taxonomy places the organism in Eukaryota, Metazoa, Chordata, Crocodylia, Gavialidae.
UAUAUGGCCUUCAGGCUGGAUUGGGCCCAUGAUGCUUUAUAAUAUGGCCUAUGGGUUAUUGAACCAAUCCCAUGCACAGGCUCUGGCCCUGGCACUGUGCGCACGUGGCAAUUGGGGCUGGCACACAGUAUGUGCUGCCUGUGAACACAAGCUGGAUCCAGCACUACCCAUGGUGCAGGGGCUCCAGAGUAUGGGCUGCAUGCAGUGCCUCAGAUGGAUCCCCAGUGCUGUCUGCAGGACUGGGUCCAGCCCAUGCGCUGUGUCCAGCAAGCCCCUGGGCUGGUGCUUGUGGUGCACAGGCAGACCAAGCGCUGCGCAGAGAGUUGGACUCAGUUCAGCCUACAGACCAAACCCAGUGAUCUUUCUCUUGCCUGUGGGGCCAGAUGAGUUUGACACCCCAGGUUUAGAAGAAUAGCAUUAAUUUCCAGGAGCCUUCAACAUUUUCAUUCAGAAACUGCAGCUCUUUAUGCGGGCUGUUGUAUGAACCAUCCUUGCCCAUAGGCACCUGCAACCUAUCUUAAGACUAGAUCUAGCAGAGGUGUGAAACGAGCAGUGGGAUGGAAAGGGGCAGGAGGAGGGUGAUUGGUACUUAAGUGGGUGCAUGUAGGCUGUGGCCCUGUGUCCCCUGCAAUGGUUCUGAGUCGGUUAGACUUUUGUUUGGGGAAAGGGAAGUAUUUACAUUCAAAAAAAAAAAAAAAAGCUGCAACCAUCUUUACAGGUCUUCUGGCUAAUAAAACAAGUCCUGCUGAAAGCAGGUGCAGCUGUUGUUCCAAUUCCUUGGGACUAGAAGUUGUUGACUGGUCAAUAAACCACUGUCAGUGCUGGGACGGACUGGUGUCCCCAUUAGUGCCCUCUGGACAGAAAGCUAUGUAUGCAGCUGGAGCUGUGCUGCACAAACCUACAGGUGUAGCCAUUCUGAGUGAAGACUGAUGUAAGCCAGAAGAAGCCUACCCUGCUCUUUGUGUAGUACAGAGAAGCAUCUACCUUCAAAAGCUGCCCCUCUGGGCCUCUCCUUCACAAGUGAAGCUGUGGUUCUCCAGGAACGACAGGCCUGUGACGGGGACCAAGAGGAAUUCCAGACGGAAAGAGUCAUUCUCGCUGUCAGAUGUUUUACGGAACUUUCCAUAGAUCAUGUACACAGUGAUAUAGGCACACAGCAGAAAAAUGACCUGUGGAGGUAACUCCACAAAGGAGCUAAAGCAGUCACUUGGAGUAGCAUUCCUGACACAACCUUACCUUCAUGACGGUGUUGUAAAUUGAGAUGAAGGUGUUGAAUAGGUCAAGAUAACGGGUUGUGAAGACAAGAGCAAAAAGGAUCUGGCUCUUCCCAGAGAUACCUGCAUGGCAGGGGAGAUGACAGGUGUGAGAGAAAAGGUAUUCAGAGCUCAUCCUCUGCAUCUUCACCAUUGAAACUCCACUCCUUGUGCACCCACCCUCUCCUCUUGCUGGAAGGAUACCUUCUCCAGUGAAGAACAGGCUCCAGAACAAAAUAAAUCCUUCAAGCUCCU